GCCGGGUGCGGCCUGUAGUCCCAGCUACUCGGGAGGCUGAGGUGGGAGGAUCGCUUGAGCCCAGGAGUUCUGGGCUGUAGUGCGCUAUGCCGAUGGGGUGUCCGCACUAAGUUCGGCAUCAAUAUGGUGACCUCCCGGGAGCAGGGGACCACCAGGUUGCCUAAGGAGGGGUGAACUGGCCUAGGUCGGAAAUGGAGCAGGCCAAAACUCCUGUGCUGAUCAGUAGUGGGACUGCACCUGUGAAUAGCCACUGCAGUCCAGCCUGGGCAACAACAUAGCGAGACCCUGUCUCU
Molecule: signal recognition particle RNA, 293 nt
Filed under: Cebus imitator (Panamanian white-faced capuchin)
Lineage: Eukaryota; Metazoa; Chordata; Mammalia; Primates; Cebidae
Description: Metazoan signal recognition particle RNA (ENSCCAG00000007179.1)
Rfam family: Metazoan signal recognition particle RNA
About the family: The signal recognition particle (SRP) is a universally conserved ribonucleoprotein.
Source: RNAcentral